GACGAACGCUGGCGGCGUGCUUAACACGUGCAAGUCGAACGGAAAGGCCCCUUUGGUGGUACUCGAGUGUCGAACGGGGGAGUAACACGUGAGUAACCUGCCCUUGACUACGGGAUAACUUCAGGAAACUGGGGCUAAUACCGGAUAGGGAUCCUUUCUUCAUGGGGGGGGUUGGAUAGCGUCGGCGGGUUUUGAUGGACUGGCUGCUUAUCAGCUUGCUGGUGGGGUAGUGUAUUACCAAGGCGGUGACGGGUAGCCGGACUGAGAGGGCGACCGGCGACCUUGGGACUGAGAUACGGCACCGACUCCGAAGGGAGGCAGAAGUGGGGAAUAUUGACCAAUGGGCGGCAGGCUGAUGCAGAAAGGCCGCGGGCGGGAUGACGGCCUUCGGGUUGUAAACCGCUUUCAGCAGGGGCGAAGCUUGUGGUGACGGUACCUGCAGAAGAAGCACCGGCUAACUACGUG
This 465-nucleotide ribosomal RNA is filed under the name uncultured bacterium. Its description in RNAcentral is "partial 16S ribosomal RNA". It matches the Rfam family "Bacterial small subunit ribosomal RNA", at positions 28 to 507 of the family's 1533-position model. The record is from RNAcentral.